AUGACUUUUUUAUCAUGGCACUUUAAUAGGAGUGGGAUUUUUCCGGUUAGAUCAGCAUACCAUGAACAAUGGGAGCAUAAACACGGACGAAAGUUGAGGAUGACUAACUCUAUACAAGCCUCAAGUACUAGUCCAGUUUAGCGUACCAUUUGGAAAUUGCGUGUGCCGGCAAAAAUCAGAAUACAUGUAUGGAGAUCGUUGCUUGGAGCCAUCCCUUGCAAUGGAGUCCUCACAAACAGAAAUAUGAUCAUGAGCUCUUAGUGUCCCAUAUGCACUUCGGAUUGCGAAAGCAUUAGACAUGCCAUGUUCCUGUGUCUUAGAGUAUUGGAAAUUUGGAGGAUCUUGGGGCUUCAAGAUGUGGUACAGGAGGUAUGUGCAAUGGAGAGGGAAGGUGUCGGUUUUGGCCGAUUAAUUACUGUCAACAAACACUACCUUGGCCCAUAUGUGUCUGAUGUGCAACGCAAUGAUCUUGUGGCCACAGUAGUAGGGUACGCGAAUUCGAAGCAAGCAAAGCUGAAGAGACAUGGUUGGAGUAAGCCACCGGAGGGAAUUCUUAAACUCAAUGUUGACACUAUGUUUGACCCUGACAGGGGAGCGGGAGGCACAGGCGCAAUCAUGCGAGAUGAAGUCGGAUUCUUUGUGGCAGCAUCAUGCAGUGAUAUCCCAUUUGUAGAAGAUGCAGCUACGACAGAAUCUCGAGGUCUCCGAGACGGGUUUCUCCUUGCAAAUGAAGUUGGGUGCAACAAAAUUUGUGUCGAGGCCGACUGCAUGGAGGUUGUCGAGAUCAUGCAAGGUGGUGGAAAUUCACUAGGACGGGCAACCGCAAUUUAUGAAGAAUAUUCUUUUUUAGCUACCAAUUUUAUUUCCAUUUUGUUUUCUCACUGCCCUAGGAAGGCCAAUGUGGUGGCAGAUUUGUUGGCUAGGAACUCGAGACCUCUCGAACCAUUGUUUGGAAAAUCGGAGCCUACAGGUUUUCUAGUGGAUGUUUUAACAAACGAUGUAUCAAUUUUUGCGCAUGAAAUAUAA
Molecule: ribosomal RNA, 1026 nt
Filed under: Triticum aestivum (bread wheat)
Lineage: Eukaryota; Viridiplantae; Streptophyta; Magnoliopsida; Poales; Poaceae
Description: partial small subunit ribosomal RNA
Source: RNAcentral